GAUCCGCGAUUACUAGCGAUUCCAGCUUCACGCAGUCGAGUUGCAGACUGCGAUCCGAACUGAGAACAGAUUUGUGGGAUUGGCUUAACCUCGCGGUUUCGCUGCCCUUUGUUCUGCCCAUUGUAGCACGUGUGUAGCCCAGGUCAUAAGGGGCAUGAUGAUUUGACGUCAUCCCCACCUUCCUCCGGUUUGUCACCGGCAGUCACCUUAGAGUGCCCAACUGAAUGCUGGCAACUAAGAUCAAGGGUUGCGCUCGUUGCGGGACUUAACCCAACAUCUCACGACACGAGCUGACGACAACCAUGCACCACCUGUCACUCUGCCCCCGAAGGGGACGUCCUAUCUCUAGGAUUGUCAGAGGAUGUCAAGACCUGGUAAGGUUCUUCGCGUUGCUUCGAAUUAAACCACAUGCUCCACCGCUUGUGCGGGCCCCCGUCAAUUCCUUUGAGUUUCAGUCUUGCGACCGUACUCCCCAGGCGGAGUGCUUAAUGCGUUAGCUGCAGCACUAAGGGGCGGAAACCCCCUAACACUUAGCACUCAUCGUUUACGGCGUGGACUACCAGGGUAUCUAAUCCUGUUCGCUCCCCACGCUUUCGCUCCUCAGCGUCAGUUACAGACCAGAGAGUCGCCUUCGCCACUGGUGUUCCUCCACAUCUCUACGCAUUUCACCGCUACACGUGGAAUUCCACUCUCCUCUUCUGCACUCAAGUUCCCCAGUUUCCAAUGACCCUCCCCGGUUGAGCCGGGGGCUUUCACAUCAGACUUAAGAAACCGCCUGCGAGCCCUUUACGCCCAAUAAUU
RNAcentral lists this ribosomal RNA (801 nucleotides) under Bacillus sp. Sb1-6a. RNAcentral's name for it is "partial 16S ribosomal RNA". The record is from RNAcentral. Lineage: Bacteria; Bacillati; Bacillota; Bacilli; Caryophanales; Bacillaceae.